AAUUCGCCCUUACUCCUACGGGAGGCAGCAGUGGGGAAUAUUGCACAAUGGGGGAAACCCUGAUGCAGCAACGCCGCGUGAGUGAUGAAGGCCUUCGGGUUGUAAAGCUCUGUCUUCAGGGACGAUAAUGACGGUACCUGAGGAGGAAGCCACGGCUAACUACGUGCCAGCAGCCGCGGUAAUACGUAGGUGGCAAGCGUUGUCCGGAUUUACUGGGCGUAAAGGGAGCGUAGGCGGAUACUUAAGUGGGAUGUGAAAUACCUGGGCUUAACUUGGGUGCUGCAUUCCAAACUGGGUGUCUAGAGUGUUGGAGAGGAAAGUGGAAUUCCUAGUGUAGCGGUGAAAUGCGUAGAGAUUAGGAAGAACACCAGUGGCGAAGGCGACUUUCUGGACAAUAACUGACGCUGAGGCUCGAAAGCGUGGGGAGCAAACAGGAUUAGAUACCCUGGUAGUCCACGCCGUAAACGAUGGGUACUAGGUGUAGGGGGUAUCGACUCCCCCUGUGCCGCCGUUAACACAAUAAGUACCCCGCCUGGGGAGUACGGUCGCAAGAUUAAAACUCAAAGGAAUUGACGG
Molecule: ribosomal RNA, 576 nt
Filed under: bacterium enrichment culture clone MF1
Lineage: Bacteria
Description: bacterial SSU rRNA
Rfam family: Bacterial small subunit ribosomal RNA
Source: RNAcentral